GGCUGGAUGGCAGAGUGGCUAUGCAGCGGCCUGCAAAGCCGUUUACGCCGGUUCGAUUCCGGCUUCAGCCUCCA
Molecule: transfer RNA, 74 nt
Filed under: Gammaproteobacteria bacterium
Lineage: Bacteria; Pseudomonadati; Pseudomonadota; Gammaproteobacteria
Description: tRNA-Cys
Rfam family: tRNA
About the family: Transfer RNA (tRNA) molecules are approximately 80 nucleotides in length. Their secondary structure includes four short double-helical elements and three loops (D, anti-codon, and T loops).
Source: RNAcentral